AGUAAUUAUUUAUUAAAAUUUUAAAUUAAUUAAUAAAUUAAAUAAAAAAAUUAUAUUUUUAUUAUAAAUUAAGAAAAAAUUUUUUUAAUUAUAGUUAAUAGUAUUGAGAAAGAACAUUUUUAUUUAUAAAAAAGAAAAAUUAAAUUUUUGUACCUUGUGCAUCAGGGUUGAUUAAAAAAAAAUUUAAUAUUAAAUAUUCUCGAAUUUAAAAGAGCUAAUUAAUUAUAAAUUUUAUUGUGAAAUAAAUAUUUAAAAUAUUUAAUUAGAAAUGAAACGUUAUUCGUUUUUAAAUUUAUCUAGUUUUUAAAUAAAUAAAUUUAAUUUAGCUAUUUUUUAGUAAAAAUUUAAUUUUUUAAAUUUUUAUAAAAAAUAAGUAAUUUUUUUGGGGAAAAGCUUGAGAAAAGAAAAUUAUAAUAAAAUAAAAAUUUUAAUAAAUUAUAGGAUUAUAAAUUUCUAUUAAUAAAAAAAUGUUAUAAUUGAUUAUUAAAAUAAUAUUAUUUUUAUUUUAUUUAAAUUUUUUAUUUAAAUAUAUUUUUGAAUAAAAGAAAUUUAGCAAUAAUGAUUAAAUUAGUAUAAAUUAAUGUAUAUUUAGAUAUUUAAUAAAGGUAAGUUUAAGGAACUCGGCAAAUAUAUUUUUCACCUGUUUAUUAAAAACAUGUCCUUUUGAUAAUAAUUUAAGGUCUAAUCUGCCCACUGAGAAUUUAAAUGGCCGCGGUAUUUUGACCGUGCAAAGGUAGCAUAAUAAUUAGUUUCUUAAUUAGAAGCUGGAAUGAAAGAUUGAAUGAGAAAAUAACUGUCUCAAAUUUAUUUAAUUAGAAUUUUAUUUUUAAGUUAAAAAGCUUAAAUGAUUUUAAAAGACGAGAAGACCCUAUAGAGUUUUAUUUAAUUUUUUAUUAAGAAAAAAUUGUUUUUAAUUUUUUUAAUGAGGGGUUAAAUUUUGUUGGGGUGAUAGAAAAAUUUAAUAAACUUUUUUUAUAUUUUAACAUAAAUUUAUGAUUAAUUGAUCCAAAAUUUUUGAUUAUAAGAUUAAAUUACCUUAGGGAUAACAGCGUAAUUUUUUUUGAGAGUUCUUAUCGAAAAAAAAGAUUGCGACCUCGAUGUUGGAUUAAAGUUAAAUUUUGGUGUAGAAGCUAAAAAUUUAGGUCUGUUCGACCUUUAAAACUUUACAUGAUCUGAGUUUAAACCGGUGUAAGCCAGGUUGGUUUCUAUCUUUAAAUAAAUAAAAUAUUUUAGUACGAAAGGACCAAAUAUUUAUUAUAAUAAUUUAUAUUGAAUAAUAAUAAAUU
Molecule: ribosomal RNA, 1286 nt
Filed under: Omadius sp.
Lineage: Eukaryota; Metazoa; Arthropoda; Insecta; Coleoptera; Cleridae
Description: 16S ribosomal RNA
Rfam family: Archaeal large subunit ribosomal RNA (bases 1042-1200)
Source: RNAcentral